GCUGGCGUAGCUCAAUCGGUAGAGCACCUCACUUGUAAUGAGGAUGUUGUGGGUUCAAUUCCUAUCGCCAGCUCCA
RNAcentral lists this transfer RNA (76 nucleotides) under Desulfuromonas acetoxidans. RNAcentral's name for it is "tRNA-Thr". It matches the Rfam family "tRNA". Rfam says of the family: Transfer RNA (tRNA) molecules are approximately 80 nucleotides in length. Their secondary structure includes four short double-helical elements and three loops (D, anti-codon, and T loops). Further hydrogen bonds mediate the characteristic L-shaped molecular structure. tRNAs have two regions of fundamental functional importance: the anti-codon, which is responsible for specific mRNA codon recognition, and the 3' end, to which the tRNAs corresponding amino acid is attached (by aminoacyl-tRNA synthetases). tRNAs cope with the degeneracy of the genetic code in two manners: having more than one tRNA (with a specific anti-codon) for a particular amino acid; and 'wobble' base-pairing, i.e. permitting non-standard base-pairing at the 3rd anti-codon position. Lineage: Bacteria; Pseudomonadati; Thermodesulfobacteriota; Desulfuromonadia; Desulfuromonadales; Desulfuromonadaceae. RNAcentral also lists the same sequence under 1 other name. The record is from RNAcentral.